CGACGCCGGCCGGCGCGAAUGUCGCAACAACUGCCUACAAGCAUAUAGCAAACUUCGCGUCUAGUGACGGAUAAAAAGAACACCAUGUAUUGUGAUUUUACACCGAUUUAAAGUGGACCAAUUUUUACACGAGAUCCAAGAUAAUCAGAAUCCGUUGACACACGUAAAAUGUCUUGAAGUUGGGAACAAAUACCACAGAAGGCGCUAAUGUGAUGUCUUGGCGUGAUGCAACUUGUAAUGGUCAACUUUCUCAUCAUGUUUGACGUGGUAUUCAUUUUCUUCUUAUUCCUCAUCGCCGUGACUUGUAUCAUGAACUAUAUGCCUGGUAAGAAGCGGCAAGAGGUGACUGAAGAAGACGUGGAGAGUGACGUCAUCCCUCCACCGCCGCUAUUCGCUGGUGACGAAGCCUGUGCGAGCCGGGACACCUAUGUGGUAAUAUCACCACCGAUUGACACUGAUAGAACCAAAGACGGGUGUCCUAUACACGUGGUGUAGUAUAAGGAAUUGUAAACCUAGGAGUUUAUUAUGAAGAAGCCUUAUAAGAUGGUAGGUAACGUCAGAAUAAAGGCGUUUUUUUACAGUUUAGAUGUCUAUAAUAUUGUUUUAAGACUAACAGUUGAAAAUUGGGACUCAAGUGAUGAAAUCGUUGGAAAGACUUGAAACAUUCGGGUAUCGGUGGACGCAAUAGAAGUAAAAAUGAAAAUAUUUAAAACUGUUGUAGAUGCUAAAAUAGGCACAUUGUAUUUACUAGUUAAAUAUUGGAUAUCUCAUGAUAGAAUAUGACAGAGAAUGUGUUUGUCUGAUCGUUAAUUACAAAAUUAAUUUUGACGUGACAACGUCUUAAAUUAGGUUGCGGCUCGGAGUCACUCAUGAAAAAGUGUAACGCCCGGUAACGUUACGAUGAGUCACCGAACUAUGA
Long non-coding RNA from Zerene cesonia (dogface butterfly), 919 nucleotides. RefSeq lists it as uncharacterized. The record is from RefSeq and is a predicted model, not a curated record. The transcript has 4 exons. Lineage: Eukaryota; Metazoa; Arthropoda; Insecta; Lepidoptera; Pieridae.